UUUCAGUCAAAACCAUUCUAUUUCACCAUAAACAAUCUGAAAACAGGGCUUUAAGUCUAAAAUACCAAACUUGUCCUUUAAAGCAUCUUUAAACUUUAAAAACAUGUUGUUUGUCGUGACUCUACAUUGUAAUACUCACCCGGUUACAGUAAUUUGUGUAAUGUUGGACAUACGAUGAAACAACACGACAUUGAUACAGCAAUUUGACCUCAGACUCAUUUUUAUCAGCAGAUUAGUGUGCUUUGAGUACACUACAGUUCUGUAAGUGAAAAAUUAAUUCAUAUUUAUGUGUGUUUCUUUCUCAGUAAGGACUAACUUUAACUGACUUUCUGUCUGUCUGUCUGUUCUCAACCAAACAGUCAUUCAAGACCUUUUAAAGCAAAAACAUUUCCCGUGCAAGUUUGAAUCUCUCUCAGUAAGGACUUAUUGACUGGCUGUCUGCUCUCGACCAAACGGUCAUUCUUACUCAUAAAAAACUUUUAAAGCACAAGUGUGUCCCGCGCAAGUUUGAAUUUCUCUCAGUAAGGACUGACGGACGGCCAUUCACUCAUAAAACCUUUUAAAGCACAAGUGUUUCCCGCGCAAAUUAGAAUUUCUCUCAGUAAGGACUGACGGAUGGCUAUUCACUCAUAAAACCUUUUAAAGGUUAGCACGAAUGCAUCCAGCAUAAUUUUGGAUCUUUACCAUUGAGGAGACUGGCUGACUGUUCUCAACCAACCAUCAUUCACACGCAAAAACUUUAAAGGUAAGUAUGAACGUGUCUAGAGCAGUUUUGGAUCUUUACCAUUGAGGAGGUUGACUGACUUUCAUCUACCAACUGUCAUUAACACAACAAAAACUAAAGAAAUGUUACUACAAGUGGACCUAUUCAGUUACUCAUUAUGCUGUGAGUACACCACAAUUUUAUCAGUGAAACAAUAAUGUUUGUUUUUUCUCAAUGCUUGGCAUAGACAAAUGUGACCCUGUGUAAUUUGGAAAUUUAAUGGGAAAUGUGUACGUCUUAAAAAUGUUUAAAUGUCGUUUGAGUUAAGGAACAGUACA
Molecule: long non-coding RNA, 1041 nt
Organism: Paramisgurnus dabryanus
Lineage: Eukaryota; Metazoa; Chordata; Actinopteri; Cypriniformes; Cobitidae
Source: RefSeq, a predicted model, not a curated record